CUCAUCUCACACUUAUUGGGUUUCUGCGUGCAAGUGGCAUAAAAAAUCUUGGUUUCAUUUAGUUACUACAUCCCAUGACGGGAAAGUUAUGUUAUGUGAUCUAAGAACUGCGUGGCCUUUAGCUGUCAUUGAAUCGCACAAAGACAAGGUACUAUGUGCGGACUGGUGGAGAGGUGACAGUGUGGUAAGUGGCGGUGCAGACUCAAAGCUCUCCAUUUCUUCUGGAAUUCCUGUGCUUUAAGUUAAAUCAACUGCAGUCCCGUCGUUG
This is a long non-coding RNA of Juglans microcarpa x Juglans regia, 268 nucleotides long. RefSeq lists it as uncharacterized. Lineage: Eukaryota; Viridiplantae; Streptophyta; Magnoliopsida; Fagales; Juglandaceae. The record is from RefSeq and is a predicted model, not a curated record. The transcript has 4 exons.